Xiphophorus hellerii (green swordtail) is the source of this 239-nucleotide long non-coding RNA. RefSeq lists it as uncharacterized. The record is from RefSeq and is a predicted model, not a curated record. Lineage: Eukaryota; Metazoa; Chordata; Actinopteri; Cyprinodontiformes; Poeciliidae. The transcript is spliced from 2 exons.
ACCUCGAGAAAGUCUUUCGGUGCAUAAACGGGCCUGAAGCGACUUAAACCUGGUUCAUCUGUGCCCAUCUCGUUCCACUUGUUGGUGAGCUCCUUCUGCUCGGCUCCGGGCCUCUGUGGGAGCAGGAGGGAACAGAGGGGUCUUUACAAAACAAACAACACGCGGCCCGAAGAACACAGAUCUUGGCUAUGUUUAAAUACAGUUGUGUGCACGCACAGGAACACAGAGAUAAAAAAAAA